UUCUUAUCAAGAGUGGUGGAGGGAAUGGCCCUAUGAAGCCCGGCAGCCGCUGACGUUUGUCAGAAAGGUGCUACAUCCAGCGGGAGCUUGUUUGUUUCCUGAGAGAUAAGAU
Molecule: non-coding RNA, 112 nt
Filed under: Jeotgalibacillus soli
Lineage: Bacteria; Bacillati; Bacillota; Bacilli; Caryophanales; Caryophanaceae
Description: SAM-I sequence
Rfam family: SAM riboswitch aptamer (S box leader)
About the family: The SAM riboswitch is found upstream of a number of genes which code for proteins involved in methionine or cysteine biosynthesis in Gram-positive bacteria. The SAM riboswitch acts at the level of transcription termination control. The predicted structure consists of a complex stem-loop region followed by a single stem loop terminator region.
Source: Rfam by way of RNAcentral